UACACUCCUACGGGAGGCAGCAGUGGGGAAUUUUGGCCAAUGGGCGAAAGCCUGAUCCAGCAAUGCCGCGUGAGUGAAGAAGGCCUUCGGGUUGUAAAGCUCUUUUGUCAGGGAAGAAACGGUGAGAGCUAAUAUCUUUUGCUAAUGACGGUACCUGAAGAAUAAGCACCGGCUAACUACGUGCCAGCAGCCGCGGUAAUACGUAGGGUGCAAGCGUUAAUCGGAAUUACUGGGCGUAAAGCGUGCGCAGGCGGUUUUGUAAGUCUGAUGUGAAAUCCCCGGGCUCAACCUGGGAAUUGCAUUGGAGACUGCAAGGCUAGAAUCUGGCAGAGGGGGGUAGAAUUCCACGUGUAGCAGUGAAAUGCGUAGAUAUGUGGAGGAACACCGAUGGCGAAGGCAGCCCCCUGGGUCAAGAUUGACGCUCAUGCACGAAAGCGUGGGGAGCAAACAGGAUUAGAAACCCCUGUAGUCCC
Molecule: ribosomal RNA, 473 nt
Filed under: uncultured organism
Description: partial 16S ribosomal RNA
Rfam family: Bacterial small subunit ribosomal RNA
Source: RNAcentral